AUGAACGCUGGCGGCGUGCCUAAUACAUGCAAGUCGAGCGAACAGACGAGGAGCUUGCUCCUCUGACGUUAGCGGCGGACGGGUGAGUAACCCGUGGAUAACCUACCUAUAAGACUGGGAUAACUUCGGGAAACCGGAGCUAAUACCGGAUAAUAUAUUGAACCGCAUGGUUCAAUAGUGAAAGACGGUUUUGCUGUCACUUAUAGAUGGAUCCGCGCCGCAUUAGCUAGUUGGUAAGGUAACGGCUUACCAAGGCAACGAUGCGUAGCCGACCUGAGAGGGAGAGAGGAGGAAGAGGGACUGAGACAAGGGAGAGAGAGCGACGGGGGGCAGCAGUAGGGAAUAUUGAGGAAUGGGGUAAAGCCGGAAGGAGCAACGAAGAGGGAAGAAAGAAGGUCUUAUUAUAGGAAAACUCUGUGAUUAUGGAAGAAAAAAUGGGUAAGUAACUAUGCACGUCGUGAGAGUCCCUAAUCAGAGAGCCACGGCUAGCUCCGAA
RNAcentral lists this ribosomal RNA (496 nucleotides) under uncultured bacterium. RNAcentral's name for it is "partial 16S ribosomal RNA". It matches the Rfam family "Bacterial small subunit ribosomal RNA", at positions 30 to 507 of the family's 1533-position model. The record is from RNAcentral.